GGUUGUUUGGCCGAGCGGUCUAGGCGCCGAUGAUUCAAGAAAUACUUGGGCCGCAGUUAACUGUGGGAAGCCCAGGUAUCGUAGAGAUGCAAGAGUUCGAAUCUCUUAGCAACCA
Molecule: transfer RNA, 115 nt
Filed under: Saccharomyces cerevisiae (brewer's yeast)
Lineage: Eukaryota; Fungi; Ascomycota; Saccharomycetes; Saccharomycetales; Saccharomycetaceae
Rfam family: tRNA
About the family: Transfer RNA (tRNA) molecules are approximately 80 nucleotides in length. Their secondary structure includes four short double-helical elements and three loops (D, anti-codon, and T loops). Further hydrogen bonds mediate the characteristic L-shaped molecular structure. tRNAs have two regions of fundamental functional importance: the anti-codon, which is responsible for specific mRNA codon recognition, and the 3' end, to which the tRNAs corresponding amino acid is attached (by aminoacyl-tRNA synthetases). tRNAs cope with the degeneracy of the genetic code in two manners: having more than one tRNA (with a specific anti-codon) for a particular amino acid; and 'wobble' base-pairing, i.e. permitting non-standard base-pairing at the 3rd anti-codon position.
Source: RNAcentral